Molecule: ribosomal RNA, 424 nt
Filed under: uncultured bacterium
Lineage: Bacteria
Description: partial 16S ribosomal RNA
Rfam family: Bacterial small subunit ribosomal RNA
Source: RNAcentral
AAUAUUGGACCAGGGGGGGAACCCUGAUCCAGCCAUGCCGCGUGUGUGAAGAAGGUCNNNGGAUUNUAAAGCACUUUAAGUUGNGAANAAGAGUUGUAGGCUAAUACCUUGCAAUUUUGACGUUACCAACAGAAUAAGCACCGGCUCACUUCGUGCCAGCAGCCGCGGUCAUACGAAGGGUGCAAGCGUUAAUCGGAAUUACUGGGCGUAAAGCGCGCGUAGGUGGUUCGUUAAGUUGGAAGUGAAAGCCCCGGGCUUAACCUGGGAAUUGCUUUCAAAACUGACGAGCUAGAGUACGGUAGAGGGUAGUGGAAUUUCCUGUGUAGCGGUGAAAUGCGUAGAUAUAGGAAGGAACACCAGUGGCGAAGGCGACCACCUGGGCUAAUACUGACACUGAGGUGCGAAAGCGUGGGGAGCAAACAGG